RNAcentral lists this ribosomal RNA (455 nucleotides) under Duganella alba. RNAcentral describes it as "bacterial SSU rRNA". It matches the Rfam family "Bacterial small subunit ribosomal RNA", at positions 1 to 453 of the family's 1533-position model. Lineage: Bacteria; Pseudomonadati; Pseudomonadota; Betaproteobacteria; Burkholderiales; Oxalobacteraceae. The record is from RNAcentral.
AGAUUAAACUAAAGAGUUUGAUCCUGGCUCAGAUUGAACGCUGGCGGCAUGCCUUACACAUGCAAGUCGAACGGCAGCACGGAGCUUGCUCUGGUGGCGAGUGGCGAACGGGUGAGUAAUAUAUCGGAACGUACCCUGGAGUGGGGGAUAACGUAGCGAAAGUUACGCUAAUACCGCAUACGAUCUAAGGAUGAAAGUGGGGGAUCGCAAGACCUCAUGCUCCUGGAGCGGCCGAUAUCUGAUUAGCUAGUUGGUGGGGUAAAGGCCCACCAAGGCAUCGAUCAGUAGCUGGUCUGAGAGGACGACCAGCCACACUGGAACUGAGACACGGUCCAGACUCCUACGGGAGGCAGCAGUGGGGAAUUUUGGACAAUGGGGGCAACCCUGAUCCAGCAAUGCCGCGUGAGUGAAGAAGGCCUUCGGGUUGUAAAGCUCUUUUGUCAGGGAAGAAAAGG